This 73-nucleotide transfer RNA is filed under the name Bacillota bacterium. RNAcentral describes it as "Firmicutes bacterium (hot springs metagenome) tRNA-Met". It matches the Rfam family "tRNA". From Rfam's summary of the family: Transfer RNA (tRNA) molecules are approximately 80 nucleotides in length. Their secondary structure includes four short double-helical elements and three loops (D, anti-codon, and T loops). RNAcentral also lists the same sequence under 1 other name. Lineage: Bacteria; Bacillati; Bacillota. The record is from RNAcentral.
GGGCCUGUAGCUCAGUGGUCAGAGCAGCGGACUCAUAAUCCGUUGGUCGGGGGUUCAAAUCCCUCCAGGCCCA